RNAcentral lists this ribosomal RNA (216 nucleotides) under Glomeromycotina sp. RNAcentral's name for it is "partial small subunit ribosomal RNA". The stretch from base 40 to 216 matches the Rfam family "Eukaryotic small subunit ribosomal RNA", at positions 686 to 864 of the family's 1831-position model. The record is from RNAcentral. Lineage: Eukaryota; Fungi; Glomeromycota.
GGGUCAGUAGGUUGGUCGUGUCUCCGGUACGUACUGGUCUCACUGAUUCCUCCUUCCUGAAGAACCGUAAUGCCAUUAAUUUGGUGUUGCGGGGAAACAGGACUGUUACUUUGAAAAAAUUAGAGUGUUUAAAGCAAGCUAACGCUUGAAUACAUUAGCAUGGAAUAAUGAAAUAGGACGAUCGAUCCUAUUUUGUUGGUUUCUAGGAUUGACGUA